RNAcentral lists this ribosomal RNA (736 nucleotides) under uncultured Pseudomonadota bacterium. Its description in RNAcentral is "bacterial SSU rRNA". It matches the Rfam family "Bacterial small subunit ribosomal RNA", at positions 93 to 822 of the family's 1533-position model. The record is from RNAcentral. Lineage: Bacteria; Pseudomonadati; Pseudomonadota.
GAGUGGCGCACGGGUGAGUAAUAUAUGGGAACGUGCCUAUAAGUGGGGGAUAACUACGGGAAACUGUAGCUAAUACCGCAUUAACUGGUGACAGUAAAGGUGGCCUCUGCUUGCAAGCUACCGCUUAUAGAUCGGCCCAUAUCCCAUUAGCUAGUUGGCGGGGUAAAGGCCCACCAAGGCUACGAUGGGUAGCUGGUCUGAGAGGACGAUCAGCCACACUGGAACUGAGACACGGUCCAGACUCCUACGGGAGGCAGCAGUGGGGAAUUUUGCACAAUGGACGAAAGUCUGAUGCAGCAACGCCGCGUGAGUGAAGAAGGCCUUUGGGUUGUAAAGCUCUUUCGGCUGGGAAAAAGGGUUUCACGGUAAAUAAUCGUGAGAUUUGAUGGUACCAGAAGAAGAAGCACCUGCUAACUUCGUGCCAGCAGCAGCGGUAAUACGAAGGGUGCAAGCGUUGUUCGGAAUUAUUGGGCGUAAAGCGCUCGUAGGCGGGUUGGUAAGUUGGUUGUGAAAUCCCUGGGCUUAACCCGGGAACUGCAAUCAAAACUGCCGAUCUUGAAUGCUUGAGAGGGUGGUGGAAUUCCAGGUGUAGAAGUGAAAUUCGUAGAUAUCUGGAGGAACACCGGAGGCGAAGGCGGCCACCUGGCAAGACAUUGACGCUGAGGAGCGAAAGCGUGGGGAGCAAACAGGAUUAGAUACCCUGGUAGUCCACGCCUUAAACGAUGGAUACUAGAUG